RNAcentral lists this ribosomal RNA (280 nucleotides) under uncultured bacterium. Its description in RNAcentral is "partial 16S ribosomal RNA". It matches the Rfam family "Bacterial small subunit ribosomal RNA", at positions 506 to 785 of the family's 1533-position model. The record is from RNAcentral.
UGCCAGCCGCCGCGGUAACACGGGGGGCGCAAGCGUUAUUCGGAAUUAUUGGGCGUAAAGGGCGCGCAGGCGGUCUUGUCCGUCAGGUGUGAAAUCCCGGGGCCCAACCCCGGAACUGCACCCGAUACUGCGGAGCUAGAGUCCCGGAGAGGAUGGCGGAAUUUCCGGUGUAGAGGUGAAAUUCGUAGAUAUCGGAAGGAACACCAGUGGCGAAGGCGGCCAUCUGGACGGUGACUGACGCUGAGACGCGAAAGCGUGGGGAGCAAACAGGAUUAGAUAC